CACCGGCGGCCCGAGUGGUGGCCACUAUUAUUGGGCCUAAAGGGUCCGUAGCCGGUUUGAUCAGUCUUCCGGGAAAUCUGACAGCUCAACUGUUAGGCUUCCGGGGGAUACUGUCAGACUUGGGACCGGGAGAGGUAAGAGGUACUACAGGGGUAGGAGUGGAAUCUUGUAAUCCUUGUGGGACCACCAGUGGCGAAGGCGUCUUACCAGAACGGGUCCGACGGUGAGGGACGAAAGCUGGGGGCACGAACCGGAUUAGAUACCCGGGUAGUCCCAGCCGUAAACGAUGCUCGCUAGGUGUCUGGGAUGGUGCGACCGUUUCAGGUGCCGCAGGGAAGCCGUGAAGCGAGCCACCUGGGAAGUACGGCCGCAAGGCUGAAACUUAAAGGAAUUGGCGGGGGAGCACUACAACGGGUGGAGCCUGCGGUUU
Molecule: ribosomal RNA, 430 nt
Filed under: uncultured archaeon
Lineage: Archaea
Description: bacterial SSU rRNA
Rfam family: Archaeal small subunit ribosomal RNA
Source: RNAcentral